RNAcentral lists this ribosomal RNA (526 nucleotides) under uncultured eukaryote. Its description in RNAcentral is "SSU rRNA". It matches the Rfam family "Eukaryotic small subunit ribosomal RNA", at positions 75 to 604 of the family's 1831-position model. The record is from RNAcentral.
UAUACAGCGAAACUGCGAAUGGCUCAUUAUAUAAGUUAUCGUUUAUUUGAUAGUGCCUUACUACUUGGAUAACCGUGGUAAUUCUAGAGCUAAUACAUGCUAAAAACCCCGACUUCGGAAGGGGUGUAUUUAUUAGAUACAAAACCAAUGCCCUUCGGGGCUCUUUGGUGAUUCAUGAUAACUAUACGAAUCGCACGGCCUUGCGCCGGCGAUGGUUCAUUCAAAUUUCUUCCCCAUCAACUUUCGAUGUUUGGGUAUUGGCCAAACAUGGUUGCAACGGGUAACGGAGGGUUAGGGCUCGACCCCGGAGAAGGAGCCUGAGAAACGGCUACUACAUCCAAGGAAGGCAGCAGGCGCGCAAAUUACCCAAUCCCGACUCGGGGAGGUAGUGACAAUAAAUACUGAUACAGGGCCCUUUCGGGCCUUGUAAUUGGAAUGAGUACAAUUUAAAUCCCUUAACGAGGAACAAUUGGAGGGCAAGUCUGGUGCCAGCAGCCGCGGUAAUUCCAGCUCCAAUAGCGUAUAU